AAGCCAUGCAAGUCUAAGUACUAGCUCUCGUACAGUGAAACUGCGAAUGGCUCAUUAAAUCAGUUAUGGUUCAUUUGAUCGUACAGUUUACUUGGAUAACUGUGGUAAUUCUAGAGCUAAUACAUGCGAGAAGCGCCGACCUCGCGGGAGGCGUGCAUUUAUCAUACCAAAAACCGGCCGCGUCUUCGGGCGCGUUCGCCUUGGUGACUCUGGAUAACUUUGCGGAUCGCACGGUCUAGCACCGGCGACGGAUCAUUCAAGUGUCUGCCCUAUCAACUUUCGUCGGUACGGUAUUUGCCUACCGAGGUUCUUACGGGUGACGGGGAAUCAGGGUUCGAUUCCGGAGAGGGAGCCUGAGAAACGGCUACCACAUCCAAGGAAGGCAGCAGGCGCGCAAAUUACCCAUUCCCGACGCGGGGAGGUAGUGACGAAAAAUAACAAUGCAGGACUCGUUCGAGGCCCUGUAAUUGGAAUGAGUACACUUUAAAAGCUUUAACGAGUAUCCAUUGGAGGGCAAGUCAGCAGCCGCGGUAAUUCCAGCUCCAAAAGUAUAUAUUUAAGUUGUUGCGGUUAAAAAGCUCGUAGUUGGAUUUUGGGCGCAGGCGGCCGGUCCGUCGCAAGGCGUGUACUGGACGUCCUGGCCUUCCCUCCGGUUCUCCGCCGGUGCUCUUGACUGAGUGUCGGCGGCGGCCGGAACGUUUACUUUGAAAAAAUUAGAGUGUUCAAAGCAGGCUCUCGAGCCUGGAUAAUGGUGCAUGGAAUAAUGGAAUAGGACCUCGGUUCUAUUUUGUUGGUUUUCGGAGCGCGAGGUAAUGAUUAAGAGGGACAGACGGGGGCAUUCGUACUGUGCCGUUAGAGGUGAAAUUCUUGGAUCGGCGCAAGACGAACGACUGCGAAAGCAUUUGCCAAGAAUGUUUUCUUUAAUCAAGAGCGAAAGUCAGAGGUUCGAAGACGAUCAGAUACCGUCCUAGUUCUGACUAUAAACGAUGCCAACUAGCGAUCGGGGGGCGUUACAUUGACGACCCCUCCGGCAGCUUACGGGAAACCAAAGUCUUUGGGUUCCGGGGGAAGUAUGGUUGCAAAGCUGAAACUUAAAGGAAUUGACGGAAGGGCACCACCAGGAGUGGAGCCUGCGGCUUAAUUUGACUCAACACGGGAAAUCUCACCCGGCCCGGACACAGUGGAGGAUUGACAGAUUGAGAGCUCUUUCUUGAUUCU
Molecule: non-coding RNA, 1218 nt
Organism: Ciona savignyi (Pacific transparent sea squirt)
Lineage: Eukaryota; Metazoa; Chordata; Ascidiacea; Phlebobranchia; Cionidae
Source: Rfam